AAUUCAAGAUUAAGACAUAGAUUUUCUCCACCUUGAAGGUGUUGUUCUUCCUUUGACAAGCCUUGUCUUCAUAUUACCAGGAGUCCGUGGCUCAAAUCCUUCACCAUUGUCACCAGAUUCUUCCUCGCCCUUUUCAACACUAACACUUCCUCUAAUUGACGGUACUAACCCGAGCCUCUUCCACCGGAAAAAACCUUUACUCCCACCACUACUCUUCUUCUCCAUAAGCCUCUCCAGCUGGAAAUGCAUAGCGCCACACUGACUCUGCAGCCUCACCACAUCCUCCCGUAGCCUUCUUAUCUCUGCUUGUUGAACAUUCAUCUCACGUUUAGACAAACACCGCGCUGCAGAACCUCCCUCGAGGUAAUGUGAACCAGAAGCGUUUGUUGGACUCCUCGUAGUGCUGCUUAUCGAGCUACUAUUACAGUCAAUGUGACGACUUAGCUUUGUCUGCUCAGUGAACAACACUCCAAUGAUUGCUCUCACCGGUAAACGAUC
Molecule: long non-coding RNA, 498 nt
Organism: Arabidopsis thaliana (thale cress)
Lineage: Eukaryota; Viridiplantae; Streptophyta; Magnoliopsida; Brassicales; Brassicaceae
Product: other RNA
Exons: 1
Source: RefSeq